AGUGAACGCUGGCGGUAGGCCUAACACAUGCAAGUCGAACGGCAGCACAGAGGAGCUUGCUCCUUGGGUGGCGAGUGGCGGAUGGGUGAGGAAUACAUCGGAAUCUACUCUGUCGUGGGGGAUAACGUAGGGAAACUUACGCUAAUACCGCAUACGACCUACGGGUGAAAGCAGGGGACCUUCGGGCCUUGCGCGAUUGAAUGAGCCGAUGUCGGAUUAGCUAGUUGGCGGGGUAAAGGCCCACCAAGGCGACGAUCCGUAGCUGGUCUGAGAGGAUGCUCAGCCACACUGGAACUGAGACACGGUCCAGACUCCUACGGGAGGCAGCAGUGGGGAAUAUUGGACAAUGGGCGCAAGCCUGAUCCAGCCAUACCGCGUGGGUGAAGAAGGCCUUCGGGUUGUAAAGCCCUUUUGUUGGGAAAGAAAUCCAUCUGGUUAAUACCCGGGUGGGAUGACGGUACCCAAAGAAUAAGCACCGGCUAACUUCGUGCCAGCCGCCGUAGUAC
This 506-nucleotide ribosomal RNA is filed under the name uncultured bacterium. RNAcentral describes it as "partial 16S ribosomal RNA". It matches the Rfam family "Bacterial small subunit ribosomal RNA", at positions 29 to 523 of the family's 1533-position model. The record is from RNAcentral.